Molecule: transfer RNA, 1084 nt
Filed under: Marmota monax (woodchuck)
Lineage: Eukaryota; Metazoa; Chordata; Mammalia; Rodentia; Sciuridae
Rfam family: tRNA (bases 954-1025)
Source: RNAcentral
AUUUACCACUGAGCUACAUCUCUAGCUUUUUUUUUGGGUGGGGGGAUACUCAGAAUUGAACCUUUUUUGUUUUUGUUAUUUUGACAUGGGAUCUCACUAAGUUGCUGAGGCUGGUCUUGAACUUGUGAUCCUCCUGCCUCAGAUGCUUGACCCCUGUGCUUUUGUACUGGGCCAAAUGGGUUAAGCGGGGCCUAGCGUGAUUAGACUCCUCUUCUCUGCAUAACUGCAUGGAAACUGGAAGUCAAAGGUGCAGCACCGUCAUGGUCACUUUUCAUGAAUGGCUGUUCUAUUUAAGUGCAGCCAGAAGAGGUGUGAAUGCGUCCUUAGAGGGUUACAACUGGCCCUUGCUCUCACCUGCAGUGUGAGAGGCACAAGUCUUCCAGACCCUUCCCCACACUCCGGUUUCCUCUCUCCUCUCCCUCUGCCCUGCUGACCAACACAAGCCCCAGACCCACCACCCGCUGCAGAGCAGCAGCCUUCCAAACACCCCCCAGGUGUCCCUGGCAGACUCGCUCCCUAGAUCUCCCUCCAAGGUCUGACUUGUGGACCCACACGCUGCUUCAGGGGGGCUCGCUAGGGCUUUCCCACUGAUCCGUUAACUCUCCUUUCUAGAGGGCUUUCCCUAGCAUCACCUGCAGUUGAGUAAGUUCUGGUUCUGGUAGUAGAUCCCUUAUUCCAUGAAACACAGUGGUUGGUUUUGUUGUUUUGUUUUUGUUUUGCUUCAAAAUGUUUCUGCCUUUGCAGGGUGUCAUGGCAUACACCUGUCAUCCCAGUGACUUGGGAGGCUGAAAUAGGAUGACUGAAAGUUCAAGUCCAGGCUAGGCAACUAAACAAGACCUUGUCUCAAAAGCAAAUAAGGGCUGGGGAUGUAGAUCACUGGCAAAGCCCCCCAAAGUUCAAUUCUGAGUACCUCCCCCCAAAAAGUUUCUGCUUAAAUAAACUUAAUAUUGGGUUGUGGUGUAGCUCCGUGGUAUGGCACUUGCCUAGCAUGCAAGAGGCCCUGGGUUUGAUCCCCAGCAUCAUAAAACAAAACAAAACAAAACCAAGAAAAAAAUGUCAAUGUUGUGCAGCACAAAGAAAAGAU